RNAcentral lists this long non-coding RNA (738 nucleotides) under Mytilus galloprovincialis (Mediterranean mussel). The record is from RNAcentral. Lineage: Eukaryota; Metazoa; Mollusca; Bivalvia; Mytilida; Mytilidae.
AAGCGAUUCGAUGAAAUUUUAUAGGAGUUAUCUACCUUUACAAAAUAAAUUUGUCGGUAUAUGUUUUCAACUCAUCAACUAUUAACCAUAUAACCCUGGAAUGUUUUUAUUUUCGGCCCCUAGGUCCUAACUUAGAAAAUGAGGUCAAGGUCAAAUGUCAAGGUCAAGUUCUAAAUUUUGACUUUUCCUUGUUUUGAGAUUUUCUCCGACACUUUUUAAGAUAUACAUUAAAGAACAAGUGCAAAAUGUUUGCUUUAUUGUAAUGAAGAUAUGUUACAUUUGGUCUGAUACAAUUAAAUGGCAUCUUAUAGGAGUUAGUGCCCCUGAACUGUCUUAAUAUAAGGUUAUUUUUGAUAUAACUUCAACUAAGUUCAUUAUAAAGCCAUAUGACCUUGUACAAAAGGUUAGGUGACAUAUGACCUUGAAAAAUGACAACCGGAAGUGACCUUGAGAAAACCGGAAGUACAUAUUUUUUGCACUUUUUUCAUGUAAAAGUACUCGGAAUCCAUAUAUUUUGUAAUAAAGAUACAUAAACGUAUCCUUCAAGACUAGAAAUAACUUGCGAUAAACCGGAAGUAGCCAAUUAUCUUACGUUGUACACAAACAAGUAUAUACAAACUAUAUAUUUUUGGAAUCAGAGUGAAGUAAGCUAUCAUUUGAGACUGGAAGUAGCACAUUAUCUCCUUUAGUUCACUUUAAAGCAUAUCAAAACUAAUAGUUAUAGUAUCAGCUUGAGAA